This 492-nucleotide ribosomal RNA is filed under the name uncultured bacterium. RNAcentral describes it as "partial 16S ribosomal RNA". It matches the Rfam family "Bacterial small subunit ribosomal RNA", at positions 29 to 507 of the family's 1533-position model. The record is from RNAcentral.
AGUGAACGCUGGCGGUAGGCCUAACACAUGCAAGUCGAACGGCAGCACAGUAAGAGCUUGCUCUUACGGGUGGCGAGUGGCGGACGGGUGAGGCAUACAUCGGAAUCUACUUUUUCGUGGGGGAUAACGUAGGGAAACUUACGCUAAUACCGCAUACUACCUACGGGUGAAAUCAGGGGAUCUUCGCAGCUUGCGCGUUUCAAUGAGCCGAUGUCGGAUUAGCUAGUUGGCGGGGUAAAGGCCCACCAAGGCGACGAUCCGUAGCUGGUCUGAGAGGAUGAUCAGCCACACUGGAACUGAGACACGGUCCAGACUCCUACGGGAGGCAGCAGUGGGGAAUAUUGGACAAUGGGCGCAAGCCUGAUCCAGCCAUACCGCGUGGGUGAAGAAGGCCUUCGGGUUGUAAAGCCCUUUUGUUGGGAAAGAAAAGCAGCAGGUUAAUACCCCGCUGUUCUGACGGUACCCAAAGAAUAAGCACCGGCUAACUUCGUG